CCCUCCCACUUCGGGGGAUACCCCCGUUGAAAGACCGGCCUAAUACCCCGAUGUUGUCCCACAGAUGGCAUCUGACGUGGACCAAAGAUUCAUCGGUGGAGGAUGGGGAUGCGUCUGAUUAGCUUGUUGGUGCGGGUAACGGCCCACCAAGGCUACGAUCAGUAGGGGUUCUGAGAGGAAGGUCCCCCACAUUGGAACUGAGACACGGUCCAAACUCCUACGGGAGGCAGCAGUGAGGAAUAUUGGUCAAUGGACGUAAGUCUGAACCAGCCAAGUAGCGUGCAGGAUUGACGGCCCUAUGGGUUGUAAACUGCUUUUGUUGGGGAGUAAAAGCGGGG
This 338-nucleotide ribosomal RNA is filed under the name Prevotella intermedia. RNAcentral's name for it is "bacterial SSU rRNA". It matches the Rfam family "Bacterial small subunit ribosomal RNA", at positions 125 to 457 of the family's 1533-position model. The record is from RNAcentral. Lineage: Bacteria; Pseudomonadati; Bacteroidota; Bacteroidia; Bacteroidales; Prevotellaceae.